Canis lupus familiaris (dog) is the source of this 579-nucleotide long non-coding RNA. RefSeq lists it as uncharacterized. The transcript has 4 exons. NCBI's taxonomy places the organism in Eukaryota, Metazoa, Chordata, Mammalia, Carnivora, Canidae. The record is from RefSeq and is a predicted model, not a curated record.
CCCCAUGCUACAGGCAAGGGAACCAAGGCUCAAAGAGCUGUUCCUUAGCCUAGGUCAGUCAAUGAGUUUCCUCGAACUUCCAGAAGAGACUCAGGAAAGCAUGAAUUCUGGCAAGAAGUCACUCAAGCAAUACUGAAUUACCAUCAAACAAUGAGAUAUCAGGGCCAUGGUAAUGUUCUAUUGGAAUGCCUCUACUCCAGGAAAACAAGUAAACAAACAAAUAGGAAAACAGAAGCGCAGUAACUUGGCAAGAAAGUUUGUCCUUACUGAGAUCUUCAAGGAACAGAAAGUUUUUCCACAAGGAAAUGUAAGAGUCUAAAGAUGCUUCCCAUUGAAGAAUGUCUAACAGAGGACAUAAAAGAAACCUGCAGAGAACCAAAGUCAUACAGGAAAGGAGGCUAUAGACUAGAUACAAGUUCAAGGUGAUGGAAGCGUCGGAGAAGGACAUAUCAACAUCGAUUUACCUUAUUCAUGACAAAACUACUCAAUUUUCCAAAGAGUUUUUCAAUUGACUGAUUUGGAAGCUUUUUAUUCUCAAGCAAGAUAUCCUCAGCUGGAGCAACACAAUAAAAAUAAUUG